RNAcentral lists this long non-coding RNA (333 nucleotides) under Sinocyclocheilus anshuiensis. Its description in RNAcentral is "lncRNA (ENSSANG00000009452.1)". Lineage: Eukaryota; Metazoa; Chordata; Actinopteri; Cypriniformes; Cyprinidae. The record is from RNAcentral.
UGGGAAACUCGCCGACUUCUUUGUCUUGAAGGAUGUGUCUGGCGUGAUGUUCGCAGGCUGUUAUGCUGAUGUAUUCAGUACGGACACGCUGAUGGAGUCUUUGGAGCGACGGCUACAGAGGCCUUUGUUGGCCAAAUCCAGGACAUUACCCAGCAUCCCUCAGUCCCCCGCCGCCAUCCGUGUGCAGCAGUCGGAGAAAGUUUGUGAAUGUCAACAGCGCCCACGUGUUCCUUCCAGCCCUGGUGGUCUUGAAGCAUGUACGCUGCCUCCUGCAGGUAUUGCGUGUGUGUUUGUGUUUAUUUAUUAAAACUGCACACUGCACAGCCGUGUUAG